Long non-coding RNA from Rhineura floridana, 864 nucleotides. RefSeq lists it as uncharacterized. The record is from RefSeq and is a predicted model, not a curated record. Lineage: Eukaryota; Metazoa; Chordata; Lepidosauria; Squamata; Rhineuridae. The transcript is spliced from 2 exons.
UUGCAGGUUCCAGUUGUGGACUCUCUAGUUGAAACAUCCAGAGACUGAACUAAAACGCAGUUAAGAAAACGAACUAUUACGAACCCGUCUACUCCUCUACUACUACUGUACAACGGAAGGCGGGAGAAUAAGAGCGCGCGCAACGCCCCAACGCCCCUCCCUCGAGCCAUCCCUGAUCCCUGCGAAGGGGCGGGGACUUUUGCCCAAUAUAAAAGCGCUCGCGAGGGACGCGCUUCCUUCUUUUCGAGUGCGACUUGGAGGUAGCUGUGUCUUGGUUGAGGGGAGGAAGAGCGAGGGGGCGGCAGACGGAUGCUGCUAUCGGUCUGACUGGCUUCCACUUGUCCUCAGUACGCGCUGUAACCAGCUAGAGUACAAUCAGUAGUCUAUUUUAGCAAAAGGGAGGUUCUUCGUCUCGGAGCUUGAGGUGCUUCUAGAGGCCUCAGAGAGCCAAGCGCGUCUGUCGCACUUGCGCGCUGAGGAGGGAGGGGAAUCCGUUGAGAUGGCAAGUAUAUCGGGAAAACGGCAAAUAACUGUUAGGCCGCCUAGGUAAAGAGAGCUUAGAAUGCGGUUAUGGGGAGGGGGAUACAGAAACCUAGAGACACGGAACAGGCGGAGCCAAACGCCCCUACAGAAUAAAUGUGCUUCCAGCUGAGUUUGAACAUUGGCACUAGACAUGACAGUUGGUUCUUCUGAAAACGUGCAUGUAUUAAGAGGGGAGUGGUGAAAUGCUUGCACUCUUCUCAGUCUGUUAUAACAAUCAACAUAAAUAACUAAAGUGCCUGAAACUAUGACUGUGUAUCAAUUUGUUAUGGCUUGGAUAUAUUAAAAUACAAAUGGAGAAAUAUUUUUACUCUGCCUUGUAAA